GAUGAAGAACGUAGCGAAAUGCGAUACUUGGUGUGAAUUGCAGAAUCCCGUGAACCAUCGAGUCUUUGAACGCAAGUUGCGCCCGAAGCCAUUAGGCCGAGGGCACGCCUGCCUGGGCGUCACACGUCGUUGCCCCCCCAUCUACUCCUUCGGGAUUGCGGGGGGCGGAUGAUGGCCUCCCGUGCGCCUCGUCGCGCGGUUGGCCUAAAUGCCAAGUCCUCGGCGACGCACGCCACGACAAUCGGUGGUUGCGAAACCUCGGUUGCCCGUCGUGUGCGGUCGUCGCGCAUCGAGGGCUCGAAAAAAUUGCCGGGCUUCGGCUCGACUUUCAACGCGACCCCAGGUCAGGCGGGGUUACCCGCUGAAUUUAAGCAUAUCAAUAAGGGAGGA
This 390-nucleotide unclassified non-coding RNA is filed under the name soil metagenome. RNAcentral describes it as "partial contains 5.8S ribosomal RNA, internal transcribed spacer 2, and large subunit ribosomal RNA". The stretch from base 1 to 122 matches the Rfam family "5.8S ribosomal RNA", at positions 35 to 154 of the family's 154-position model. The record is from RNAcentral.